RNAcentral lists this ribosomal RNA (540 nucleotides) under Holothuria notabilis. RNAcentral's name for it is "partial 16S ribosomal RNA". It matches the Rfam family "Bacterial large subunit ribosomal RNA", at positions 1797 to 2600 of the family's 2925-position model. Lineage: Eukaryota; Metazoa; Echinodermata; Holothuroidea; Aspidochirotida; Holothuriidae. The record is from RNAcentral.
CGCCUGUUUAUCAAAAACAUAGCCCCUAGAAUAUAUAAGGGGUCCCGCCUGCCCAGUGGCCUAAGGCUAAACGGCCGCGGUAUCUUGACCGUGCAAAGGUAGCAUAAUCACUUGUCUUUUAAAUGGAGACUGGUAUGAACGGCUAAACCUCCUUUAACUGUCUCCCCUCUCACCCUUUUAAACUCCUAUUCGUGUGAAGAAGCGCGAAUUCAACAGAAAGACGAGAAGACCCUGUCGAGCUUUAGCUAACAGAUGAAACCUAGAAAACUAACCCCAAGACAUCAUCCAAAAGCUUUGGUUGGGGCAACCACGGAGAAAAUAAAUCCUCCAGAAAUAAUAGAAGAAAACACCGAUCUCUAUAAAAACCAGCACUAAGAACCAGAAACUGGUAUACGGAAGUAGUUACCGCAGGGAUAACAGCGUCAUCCCCUUUAAGAGUCCUUAUUGACGAGGGGGUUUGCGACCUCGAUGUUGGAUUGGGGCCUCCUUAGGGUGCAGAAGCUCUAAACGGUUAGACUGUUCGUCUAUUAAAGCCCUACA